Long non-coding RNA from Ostrea edulis (European flat oyster), 293 nucleotides. RefSeq lists it as uncharacterized. NCBI's taxonomy places the organism in Eukaryota, Metazoa, Mollusca, Bivalvia, Ostreida, Ostreidae. The transcript is spliced from 2 exons. The record is from RefSeq and is a predicted model, not a curated record.
AUCUUGUACUUCCAACAGUCAGUGUUGCAUGUUUGUGAAUAAUGAAUACAAUUUGUUUUUCGACUCGAUGAAAAUUCUAACUUGUAGGAUGAUUCCUAGUUUAAGGGUAACUUUGGGUCAGCUGCAUGGAUAUGGUCACAAGAUCCGGUGAUAAACUGGUCCUGCCCUGCGUGCAACACAGUUGCUAGACAUAUCAGUGUUUUGAAUCUAACACUACACUUCCACAUUUAUGAUGACUGGUUCCUGCCGCUGUAAAUAAAAAUGACAAAUAAAAAUUAUGCUAGAGUUCCUCA